This 377-nucleotide ribosomal RNA is filed under the name uncultured crenarchaeote. RNAcentral's name for it is "bacterial SSU rRNA". It matches the Rfam family "Archaeal small subunit ribosomal RNA", at positions 474 to 851 of the family's 1478-position model. The record is from RNAcentral. Lineage: Archaea; Thermoproteati; Thermoproteota.
UACCAGCACCCCGAGUGGUCGGGACGAUUAUUGGGCCUAAAGCAUCCGUAGCCGGUUUUACAAGUCCUCCGUUAAAUCCAACUGCUUAACAGAUGGGCCGCGGAGGAUACUAUAAGACUAGGAGGCAGGAGAGGCAAGCGGUACUCAGUGGGUAGGGGUAAAAUCCGUUGAUCCAUUGAAGACCACCAGUGGCGAAGGCGGCUUGCCAGAAUGCGCUCGACGGUGAGGGAUGAAAGCUGGGGGAGCAAACCGGAUUAGAUACCCGGGUAGUCCCAGCUGUAAACGAUGCAGACUCGGUGAUGGACUAGCUUAAUGCUAGUCCAGUGCCGCAGGGAAGCCGUUAAGUCUGCCGCCUGGGUAGUACGGUCGCAAGACUG